RNAcentral lists this unclassified non-coding RNA (674 nucleotides) under Zea mays. RNAcentral describes it as "misc RNA Zm00001eb385940". The record is from RNAcentral. Lineage: Eukaryota; Viridiplantae; Streptophyta; Magnoliopsida; Poales; Poaceae.
GGAAAUCUAUAAAGCAGUCAAGGUGUUUGCAGAAAACUACGGCGAUUCUGAGGUCCUGGCUAUCAUGAUAAGUUGUUAUACCGAUGGGUGUUUAGAUGUAGUACGACUUCCUACUAAAGAAGAAUCUGAUAAUUCUUUAAAGAAUGUUUUCUAUAAGUAUUGCGAAAUCACUAAUUUUAAAAAACCUAUGACGCCCAAAAACCAGCAUAAAGUAGCUCGCUAUAAUUGCUAUAUAACAAAAGAAAAUCAAGUGAUAAAGAACAAAACGAAAUUCAUAGUGGCCGAUCUAGAAACGAUUCCCUAUAAAUUAGGAGAAAACGACGAAUACAAUACACACGUCCCCUACGCAGGGGGGUAUAUGACGAUUGAUACGGAUAAGGGAUUAGAUGAAAAUAAAAUUAUAAUGUUCUAUGCUGAUGACUACAAAAUACUAUACGAAGAUUUUAAGUCAAUGAGUACAAAGAUGCUCACAGUUAUGAUGAACAGGUUGAUCAAAGAAGCCAGAUCAGCAAGAACAUGUUUGGUAGUAUACUUUCAUAAUUUAGGUCAGUUCGAUGGUCUUUUUAUACUAAGGCAUUUAACAAUGGAACACAGGGGUUUGGUAGUAGAACCCUUGGUUCGAAACCGUAUUAUUUACAAGAUAAGUGUCUAUACAGUAUCCCCCAAGGGCAGGC